AGGGGGGGUGCUUACCUGCAAGUCGAACGAGGGCCAUGGAGCUUGCUCCGGAAGACCUAGUGGCGAACGGGUGCGUAACACGUGAGAAACCUGCCCCGAUCUCUGGGAUAACAGUUGGAAACGACUGCUAAUACCGGAUGCCGUCACACCGCUUCAUGGCGGAGUGCCGAAAGAUUUAUCGGAUCGGGAGGGUCUCGCGGCCUAUCAGCUAGUUGGAGAGGUAACGGCUCACCAAGGCAUCGACGGGUAGCUGGUCUGAGAGGAUGAUCAGCCACACUGGGACUGAGACACGGCCCACACUCCUACGGGAGGCAGCAGUGGGGAAUCUUGCACAAUGGGCGAAAGCCUGAUGCAGCAACGCCGCGUGCGGGAAGAAGGCCCUAGGGUUGUAAACCGCUUUCAGUAGGGAAGAAAAUGACGGUACCUACAGAAGAAGGUGCGGCCAACUACGUGCCAGCAGCCGCGGUGACACGUAGGCACCAAGCGUUAUCCGGAUUUAUUGGGCGUAAAGAGCUCGUAGGCGGUUUGGUAAGUCGGGUGUGAAAACUCUGGGCUCAACCCAGAGAGGCCACCCGAUACUGCUAUGACUAAAGUACGGUAGGGGAGCGGGGAAUUCAUGGUGUAGCGGUGAAAUGCGCACAUAUCAUGAGGAACACCAGCGGCGAACGCGCCGCUCUGGGCCGUAACUGACGCUGACGAGCGAAAGCAUGGGUAGCAAACAGGAUUAGAUACCCUGCUAGUCCAUGCCGUAACGUUGGGCACUAGUGUGGUCUCAAGCAACGAGCAUCGCGCGUCGCUAACGCAUUAAGUGCUCCGCCUGGGGGGAGUACGAUCCGCAAGAAUUAAAACCUCAAAGGGAAA
RNAcentral lists this ribosomal RNA (861 nucleotides) under uncultured bacterium. RNAcentral describes it as "bacterial SSU rRNA". It matches the Rfam family "Bacterial small subunit ribosomal RNA", at positions 37 to 911 of the family's 1533-position model. The record is from RNAcentral.